Non-coding RNA from Schistosoma mattheei, 48 nucleotides. The record is from Rfam. Lineage: Eukaryota; Metazoa; Platyhelminthes; Trematoda; Strigeidida; Schistosomatidae.
AUCCAGCUGACGAGCCCCAGAUAGGACGAAACGCGCGUCAAACUGGAU